UCUGGGACAAGCCCUGGAAACGGGGUCUAAUACCGGAUAACACUCCCUCCCUCCUGGGUGGGGGUUGAAAGCUCCGGCGGUGAAGGAUGAGCCCGCGGCCUAUCAGCUUGUUGGUGAGGUAAUGGCUCACCAAGGCGACGACGGGUAGCCGGCCUGAGAGGGCGACCGGCCACACUGGGACUGAGACACGGCCCAGACUCCUACGGGAGGCAGCAGUGGGGAAUAUUGCACAAUGGGCGAAAGCCUGAUGCAGCGACGCCGCGUGAGGGAUGACGGCCUUCGGGUUGUAAACCUCUUUCAGCAGGGAAGAAGCGAAAGUGACGGUACCUGCAGAAGAAGCGCCGGCUAACUACGUGCCAGCAGCCGCGGUAAUACGUAGGGCGCAAGCGUUGUCCGGAAUUAUUGGGCGUAAAGAGCUCGUAGGCGGCUUGUCACGUCGGGUGUGAAAGCCCGGGGCUUAACCCCGGGUCUGCAUUCGAUACGGGCUAGCUAGAGUGUGGUAGGGGAGAUCGGAAUUCCUGGUGUAGCGGUGAAAUGCGCAGAUAUCAGGAGGAACACCGGUGGCGAAGGCGGAUCUCUGGGCCAUUACUGACGCUGAGGAGCGAAAGCGUGGGGAGCGAACAGGAUUAGAUACCCUGGUAGUCCACGCCGUAAACGGUGGGAACUAGGUGUUGGCGACAUUCCACGUCGUCGGUGCCGCAGCUAACGCAUUAAGUUCCCCGCCUGG
RNAcentral lists this ribosomal RNA (727 nucleotides) under Streptomyces sp. RNAcentral describes it as "bacterial SSU rRNA". It matches the Rfam family "Bacterial small subunit ribosomal RNA", at positions 137 to 876 of the family's 1533-position model. The record is from RNAcentral. Lineage: Bacteria; Bacillati; Actinomycetota; Actinomycetes; Kitasatosporales; Streptomycetaceae.